This 253-nucleotide ribosomal RNA is filed under the name uncultured bacterium. RNAcentral describes it as "partial 16S ribosomal RNA". It matches the Rfam family "Bacterial small subunit ribosomal RNA", at positions 524 to 776 of the family's 1533-position model. The record is from RNAcentral.
UACAGAGGGUGCGAACGUUGCUCGGAAUUACUGGGCGUAAAGCGCGUGUAGGCGGAUCUCUAAGUCGGGCGUGAAAGCCCCAGGCUCAACCUGGGAACUGCGCUCGAAACUGGGGGUCUUGAGUAUCGGAGAGGGUGGCGGAAUUCCUGGUGUAGAGGUGAAAUUCGUAGAUAUCAGGAGGAACACCGGUGGCGAAGGCGGCCACCUGGACGAUUACUGACGCUGAGACGCGAAAGCGUGGGGAGCAAACAGG